UCUCGUUCCCAUCGAAGUCGAUGGAUGGAGUGUUUCUUGCUCUUGACCCGCAACUCAAAAGUCAAAUAUUUUGAUGAGCUGACCAAGCUUAGCUCUAGAAGAUUCCAAGUCAUCAGUCAAUCAGGAGACUUCCUGCUAAAGCUUGGCCUCCCAUUCAGCUACCGACUUAAGUUGCUUAAGGGCAACUGCCUUCUCAGCAUCAGCGGCCGCCACCUUAUUCAUUCAUGUCCAACGGAAGUCGUUGAACUUCACAUAACCGACUUCCAG
This 267-nucleotide long non-coding RNA is filed under the name Elaeis guineensis (African oil palm). RNAcentral's name for it is "long non-coding RNA (EGUI_LNC055367)". The record is from RNAcentral. Lineage: Eukaryota; Viridiplantae; Streptophyta; Magnoliopsida; Arecales; Arecaceae.